Cinara cedri is the source of this 784-nucleotide non-coding RNA. The record is from the annotation of a GenBank genome assembly. Lineage: Eukaryota; Metazoa; Arthropoda; Insecta; Hemiptera; Aphididae.
UGCAAUCCGCUGCCGCUCUGACGAUAAACCGAGACGUCAAACAAACACUAUCGGGUACGGCGCUCGUAGCGCGACAAUAGAGGAUCGUAUUAUUUUUCCCACUCGCGUACGGAAUUGUUGUAACGACGCACGAACGCAUACGUACGCGUAGGCGUUAUUAAUCUCGGAAUACGAUUCGAACACGUACGUGGAUGUCGAGGAUUACGGAUUCAGACGGUUGAAAAAUUAUCGCGUCACCCGUACUCGCGUGAAGGUAUUAUGAUGAUUUCCGAAAGGAAUAAGUCGUCGGAAUAAUAUGGAAAUACGCGUACAACGACGAUGUUCGAAUGUCCCGGACGGGGACAAACGAAAAGCGCGUCGUUAAUUUUACGGCGUUAUUUAUUUUUUUUUUUUUUGUCGUUUAUUUUGUAUUGCGCCCGUGACCCGUACGGGUCUCAUAAAAACGUAAACCGCGGGCGGCCGAGGUCCUUUUCUCGUCUGACAUUCUCGAACGCGCGCGCCGUGUUACAGGCCCACAUUAUUAUACGCACACCUCGGCGCGCUUGUGUUCUUGAUUUAAAUUAAAAGCGCACACUCCCGCCGUCGCGCGGUAUAACAGUGCGUGAUUAUAACACCGCCGAGAACAAUAAUAUUAUUUAUUUAUUUUUUUAUUUUUUUAUUUUUUUUCGAAUGGCUUUUGAAGAAAGCAGCGAUUUUGCCGCCGUUCGCGCUCGCCUUUGAAAUGCCCGCUCGCCCGUCUAAACGGCCGACUCGCCCGCGUACGCGAUUUACUCGAAAACGAAAC